This 335-nucleotide long non-coding RNA is filed under the name Gossypium raimondii (Peruvian cotton). Its description in RNAcentral is "long non-coding RNA (GRAI_LNC007118)". The record is from RNAcentral. Lineage: Eukaryota; Viridiplantae; Streptophyta; Magnoliopsida; Malvales; Malvaceae.
CAUCACCACCCAAGCAUCCCUAUAAGUACAAGUCUCCACCUCCACCUCCACCAUCACCACCCAAGCACCCUUACAAGUACAAGUCUCCACCACCCCCACCAUCACCACCCAAGCACCCCUACAAGUACAAGUCUCCUCCACCACCUCCACCAUCACCACCCAAGCACCCCUACAAGUAUAAGUCUCCACCACCCCCACCAUCACCACCCAAGCAUCCUUACAAGUACAAGUCUCCACCACCACCACCACCAUCACCACCCAAGCACCCCUACAAGUACAAGUCUCCUCCACCUCCACCAUCACCACCCAAGCAUCCCUACAAGUACAAGUCUCCA